UAAGUGGUGGAAUCAGGAUUUGGAUAUAGGCAGUUUUGUUAAUCUAUUAUUUUAGAUCAGAUCUUAAGCUGGCUUAGUGAAGCUAAUCCAGGAUAGGAAUAACCUCUUUAGCAGACUUUGUACUAAACUAGAUAUACUGGGCUCAAGAUUAAUUUCUCUCCCUUGGAAAUAAAAUACUGGAUUCUACCUGUCAUAUCUGAAGUGCAUUGUUUUGAAGUACCAUCUUGGAUCAAGUUAAUAGGGUUGGAAUGGGCACUUCAGCUACUAGAAAGCAAUCCUGCCACUUAUGUUGAAACAGUAUUUUGGUGCUCUAGUCAAAUGCACAAACGAUUUAAGGGGUUAAGGAGGAUUAUUUUAGAUGAAGAAUAUGCAAAAGGAAUCUAAUACCAUUCUCACCUCUUGAAUUUGCAUUGUUUUUUUAUAAGACCAUUAUUUACAGUCAGGAGUUUUAUGGUAAUUGUACCUUCCAUUGAGGCUCAAAAUGGCCUCUUCAGCCAGCUCAUAAUAAGGUAAUGAACUGGAGAGGAAGAGUAAGAAAGGAGUGUGUUGAAAGAGCAAGUUCAGAUGAGAAGCAGUGAUGUUGUGGCCCAUAAAUAUUCAUCCAGAAAAUUUCUUGGGUGUAUUGAGCUGUAGAUGAGCAACUUACAUUGAAUUAUAUAUACGUAUAUAAUUUUUUUUUUAAUGGCUACCCCUGCAGCAUAAGGACAUUCCUGGGCCAGGGUUUGAAUCGGAGCUAAAGCUAUAGGCCUAUGCCACAGCCACAGCAACACUCCACCCGAGCCACGUUUGUGAUCUAUGCUGAAGCUUGCGGCAAUGCCGGAUCCUUAAUCCACUGAGUGAGGCCAGGGAUUGAACCCACAUCGUCACAGAGGUGAUGUUGGGUCCUUAACCUGCUGAGCCACAACAGAAAAUCCUAGAUUUAUUAUUUUGUUCAUUGAAAUAUGUCAUUUCAUUUCCUGUAGCCUCAAAACUCUUUUCUUGGAGUGUCCUUGAAGCCCUUUGACCUGCUUUCUCUGUGGAGACAGUCUGACCACUGUUAGCCUCAACUUCCCUAUAUUUCGGUUUUCAAUAAGCUCCCAAUCGUAGCCACUGCGUGCUAGGUAAAAUAUGUGAAAUGGAAAAGGAUGAAACUUUGAGAAUGUAUUUGUUAACAGUGAAAAUAGGAUUCACACUUUUCAGUCCUGAUACACUUUUUCAUCAUGGGGAUCUGUAAACGUAAUGUUCUCCUUUUAAUACAGAAGGAGAAAGCACUCUGAUGGAACCCUGCCUUCCAUUUUGGAUCCAUCAUCACCCACUGAUACUUAAACUUCAGUUUCGCCAUAAAAUGUGAUAGUAUUAAGAGUCAUUCCAAAAGGAUAAAUUUUGAUAAUAUAGAGCUCUGUGAACUGUGAUUGGGUUGCUCCCCCCAUAUAUGUGUGAGUGUGUGUGUGUGUAUAAAUAUAUAAUGAAAAAUUCCAGAGAAUAUAAAAUUUGACUUGUUCUUAACACCUUGCUUAAUGUGUAGUAUGAAGAAUGUUUUUAAAUUGAGCCUUUUGCAUUUGUAACCUAUCUUAGAUGCUUUACUGAAAACCUAAAGUUAGUUAACAUGUUUUUUCCUCAGUGCUCCUAUAAUUGAUGAGCAGAGCAGACUUCUGCUGGAAAAUAUAAGGGACACAUGACAUCGUUUUAGCCUCAUGCCCUGACUGGAGAUAUUUUCUCUCAGUCCUAGUUUUCACUUUCUCCAGAGUAAGUCACCACUUAUGAAUCACGCUGAGGUGAAAGGUCUAAAUUCCCUACUGUACAAUCCAAACAUUACACCUUAGUAAUUCUCCUUACAGGGUCUUGCCCCAACCCCCAGCUUACCUUUGUUUUUCAGGUUUUGUUCACUAAACCCCAUAUCUAAAUAUUCUAGACUGUGCUCACUCAGAAGCUCAUAUCUUUUCUUUCCUUGGCUUCUGAGACAACCAGAGGGGAUAUGCUAGUCUUGUUUCUCUGUAGUGUUGUAUGUUGAUUUCCAUGUAUGUUUCAGACCAUUGAGCCCUCCUGUUUUGGAGGUCCAAAGUCAGAUUUCCCUGGAACAUAUGUAUCUUGUUAGCAAUGUUAUGACAAAUAGCAGCAGCUGUAUAAACUAAUCUUUCUGUAACUUCACACAGGGGACUCAAUUAACAAUGGACCACUGUCAGCAUUUAAUCCUUUUUACCUCUUGGUUCCUGUGAACUUUUCUAUUAGAUAUCAAGAGUAUUCUUACCCAUAAACAGAAGACAUCAAAUAGUUCAAAUCAGUUGAACUUUCCUUGGUGUUCUCUAAGGUGAUUUGGAAAAGGGCUGGCAAUUAUAAUGAUUCCUUUAUUGGUCCUGAUAGAAAGACAUACUGGUCUCAUGAGGAUGGUUGUGACAGAAUUGAGGAUUCACUUUGCUUUGGAAUUGUUUCUGCAUUUAGCACCCAAGUCCAUGGUCUUGAGAAACUGACCUCUCAAGUUUAGAGUGACUAUGGUAUGAGCAGGGCAGCAAGGAAAUAACUUCUCCCAGAAAUAGUCACAGAGACAGACAUGUCUUUGUGAGCUGUCUGUCAUGUAGCAGUCUACUUUUGUGUGUGAUAAUUUGAAGUCCUGAGAAACCGAAAUCUCAAGUGACCUUUUACCUCUUUCUGUAAUUUUUAUCUUUGUUUCUUUGUCAGAAAAAAAGGAGGGCAGGUUGGAUGGUUAAGUACAAUGGGAUAUUUGGAAAAGCAGAGUUAUGGCUUUAGGAUAAUAGUGAACGAAAGUUCAGUUUCCAGUUUAAAUGUACUUGACAUUUGAACCUUUGUUUGAAGCUCUUGUUUUAGGUCUAUCUGCAGAGGACAUCUGGAAUUCCUUUGGCUUCUAAUCUAUGGCAAGUGAACAGGAAUGGAUGACAAAGGGAUAUAAAGAUAGAGCUCAAACAAGUUGUUGUUAAUUCUUUCUUUCACCUAUGAGGACUAAUGAAAAGCUUAAAUUACUAAAUUCAGACUGGACCAUUGUCGCUACUUGCCAAACUGUACAUGCUUGUACCAAACCUUGUGUAUUACACUUGUUUGGGGGGAAUCAAGGACUUUCAAAAUUCUGAAUUAUAGAAGGCAAAAAUUAAAGCUGAUUAUUGGACAAUUAUGUUCUCUUUUAAUUUGAAGAUAAGUACAAACUUAUUACUUAAAAAUAACUCCCUAAAACACAACAUAUAAAAUAGUUUGCCCUUUAAGAAGUUUAAAACAUCUUUUCUUUUUUUUUUUUUUUUUUUUUUUUUUUGCUUUUAAGGCCCGAACCUGUGGAAGUUGCAAGGCUAGGGAUCAAAUCAGAGCUACAGCUUCCAGCCUGUGCCACAGCCACAGCAAUGUGGGAUCUGAGCCACAUCUGUGGCUUACACCACAGCUCAUGGGAAUGCUGGAUCCCCGACCCACUGAGUGAGGCCAGGGAUCGAACCUGCAUCCUUAAGGGUAAUAGUUGUGUUUGUUACCACUACACCACAACGCAAACUCCCAUCUUAUUUGUUUUUAAAAUGUGUUUUGAGUUUCUUUUUUUUUUGCAAAUGAGUUAAAGGUAAUAACUCAUUAUAAGGAAAAAAAUUCUUCAUAGAACCAUAAAGAAUUUUCCUAAAUUGAUAGAUUAUUCGUUUCCAAGCUUUUUACAAAAGUAUUUUUCCUUUGCCAGGUUUCUACUUGAUAUAGAAAUGAUAUACUUUUUUUUUUUUAUCUUUUCUAGGGCUGCAUCCACGGCAUAUAGAGGUUACCAGGCUAGGAGUCCAGUCAGAGCUGUAGCCACCAGCCUACGCCAGAGCCACAGCAACGCGGGAUCCGAGCCACGUCUGUGACCUACACCACAGCUCACGGCAAUGCCGGAUCCUUAACCCACUGAGCGAGGCCAGGGAUCAAACCUGCAAUUUCAUGGUUUCUAGUCAGAUUCAUUAACCACUGCACCACAACGGGAACUCCCAGAAAUGAUAUACUUUUAAACAAAGAAUAUAAUAUUAAUUUAAUCCAGAAUACUUGAAGAUAUUUAGAACAUAACUGCAUAGAGUUAUAACAAGACAGAUAUGGAAGACAAACAGUCCAUCAGAAAGAAGUCUUUGGUAUGGUCCGCUUUCCCUUGCAUGAAUAUUAUUAUUUUUUUUUAAAGUCAAGUGCUUUUAUAUAUAACAUUUUAUUUCAACAUCCCAGUUUCUCUUAUAAGAUAGACAUUAUUAUUCCUCAUUUAAAGAUGCAGAAAUUAGAGCUCAAAGAGUUUAAAAGAAGCUGCCCAAAGUCACACAGCAAGGAGGUGGCAAAAGCGAGAGUAAUCUGAAGUCUGGUUGACUCCAAAAUAACUCCCUGGACACUAAACCUUGACCUUCGAGAAGGGAGGCAAAUAUUACAGAUCCAUCUCCUUUAUCCCUUGAAUUGCAAGCCACGCUGCUCUGAAGGUAACUGCAUGUGGAUUGUGUUAAUGUAUUUCCUUAUUGUGGAGUUUAAGUUAUGUUUUAUGAGUUAUACUUUUGUCAUUUGUUUAUGGUAUCAUACUUAAUAUUUAUCUCAGUUGGGUGAGAUAGAUAAUGUCCCCAUUUUAUAGUCAAGAACCAUUAAGCAGUUGAGAGCUGGGCUGAAGUGUGGAAUCCUUCCUCAACUGUUUUUCCCAUUACAUUUUAAAUAGCUCCAAUCCAAGAAAAAGCCUUGCUUCACUUUUGAUCUCAUAUCCAAAAGUUGAGUAAGGUAAACAUAAUUUUUUUUUUGCUUAAUUAAAAAAAGUGAAUCUGCAAUACAUGACCAUGUAAUUCUUUGUAAGCAUCUUCUCAGAUGAUGGGCACAGAUUAGUAAUUGGUUGAGCUAUGGUAUGCGCUCAUUUUUGGUUGCGAGUUUUUUUCCUUCUCCUUAUAUGCAGUGCCAUUUGAGAAUUGCCCUGGAAAGGUGCUAUUUUCUCUCUUUCUGCAGACUUUUAUAUCAGUUUCUUAGUGUGCAAUGUAGAAGAAUAUCACUCUCAUGACCUUUCAGGUAAAUAGGCACAAUGAAGCAGCUAAGAUGCUGAGGACUGCGUAAUGGGGUUUUCACUUACACACAUGGUUGUAAUUCCUCAAGGUAAUGCUGGUGGAUGGGAUGAUUCAGGAGGUAGUCAUGAAAGUCUUCCUUGCCUGGCAGGGUUUCCGCACCAUAGUUCCGUAUCCUUUUUCCUCAUGGUUUACUCCAACUGCACUGAUAUCCUUUUACUAUUUCUCUUACUAUGACUUUGAGAUUGACAGUUACCCCCAAACCAUUUUGAAUCCAAGUGUGUUCCAUGAUUAGAGGAGGUGAAUGUUGAUUGAUAAAGAAGUGGACAUGAGAUAACCAGAAAGGUAAUGAACUAUGGAUUAUUCUUUUAAAUGUGUGAUACAGGUUGAGAAUUCCCAGACCUUGGUGCAUGUGGGGAGGCGAUUUUGGCCUACUCCAUGUAAAACUCUCUUCAGAAGGACAAAUGGCUCUGUUCACUAGUUGGACAGAUUGAGGCAGGGACAAAUUAAGAACUUUUAGUGAUGGUUCAUCCACUGGAUUUUAUCAUAGAUUUUUUUUUAUCAGUUUAAUGGUCUGGGGCAGUUGAUUUGACUUUUUCUUGAAAUAAAUCAACAACAAAAAAAGAACUUCACUCUCUCUUAUUUGUUGCCUAAACAAUGUUUCCAAAAGUUAAUUGACUGUCUCCAGUACAGCUGAUUUGAUUGUCUCAAGAAAUCAGUUAGUUUUGCUAAAAAACAGAUAUAACUCCUCUACCUCUUGUCUGGUGCUUAUACAAUGUUUCCAGAAGAUCAUUAUCCUUCAGCAUGCUAUCAGUAUGGAGAAGGCCCAUUUUUUUUAAAAAAAGAUAAUGCUCCCUCUCUUUCGUGAAUUUCAGCCUAUUUAGACUUGGUUCUUAUGCCUCACAUUGAAUACUUGUUCUAGAGAAAUGUGAUCCCAGGAAUGCUGGUGGUUUGCUGUGUGUUAAAAUGGUGCUAUGCUUUAGGUUUCUGUUCCAAUCUAAGAUUUCAGAAGAGUCAGUAACUGCAAAUAAUCUAAAAGGGGAAGAGUGAAGAAUGCUUCUAACUUCCCUUUGAAAUGAAUAGCUCUGCCAGAGCAGCAGCUAUUAGAAAAACAAAAACGACAAAGAAAAGCUGCUCGGCUCAGCACACAGAGGUAAAUUUACUUACAUCAGACUGAAAAAUGAGGGCUGGGCUUUGAAAAGACAUCCCUUCUGACUAGAGGAGAGCUUGUAAUUUUGGCAUGGCUGCAGCCCUCCUAAACCCCUGAGAAAUUCUGAAAAACAUUACAGAAGACUGUUCUUAAUAUUAAUGGAUGUCUUCGCGUGCGUGUGUGUGUGUGUGUGUGUGUGUGUGUUUGUGUAUCUAUGCAUUCGGAAAGAAAAAUGCCAGCCAGAGAAGAGGGGAAGAAUGAGAGAAGAACGGAUUAUGUAGGUUGAAGAUCUACCACUGAAAAUGUCUAAUUUCUGACGAAUCAUUGGCAUUCGUCAUUCUCUACUCUUCAGCCAAUAGAGUAGCUCAAGAUGAGAUUGAGAGGAACACCCGCCAUUCAGACACUCUUAAGUUAUUAGCCUUCCAAUAAUGCGGCCCUCUUAACAAACUCUUCCUAAAAUACUUUGUUUGUAGAUAACACAGCUCACUGAUAUAAUCUAAGAUCAUGGUCUUAUCUAUUAUAUGACAUCAGAGGUGAAAAAAAGACCGUUUUCCCAUGGCUAAUUGUGGCAAGUGUGGCAUCAUGUUGUACUCUUAGUGAACAAUUUCAGGGCCACCAAGAGCCUACUGCUCUGCCUCUUGGGAGGGGACUUUUCCUUUGCAGCUCAGCUUCAGGAAACACGAACAUUUGUGUUUUCGAGACCACAUACCAUUGGGAAGGAAGUUGGGGUGGAGAUGCGUGCUGAGAUUAAGUGGCUACGAGAAUCCCUGGACUGUGUCUGAUCUGGAAACCACUAGGGCUUGUGCAGUCCUCUUUCUGGCAUGCCUUUAGAACUUGCCAAGUGCACAACAGGGCCACUAAGGAUAUUGUUCACCAAAUAACAUAUGGAGAAUUCCUGUUGUUGUGCAGCAGAAACAAAUCUGACUGGUAUCUUUGAGGAUAUGGGUUCGAUCCCUGGCUUCCUCCGUGGGUCGGGGUCCGGCCUUGCCUUGAGCUGUGAUGAGGUCACAGACACGGCUUGGAUCCCAUGUUGCUGUGGCUGUGGUGUAGCCCAGCAGCUGUAGCUCCGAUUUGACCCCUAGCCUGGGAAUUUCCAUAUGCC
This 7198-nucleotide long non-coding RNA is filed under the name Sus scrofa (pig). RNAcentral's name for it is "lncRNA (ENSSSCG00045017367.1)". The record is from RNAcentral. Lineage: Eukaryota; Metazoa; Chordata; Mammalia; Artiodactyla; Suidae.